RNAcentral lists this ribosomal RNA (331 nucleotides) under uncultured Bacillota bacterium. RNAcentral describes it as "bacterial SSU rRNA". It matches the Rfam family "Bacterial small subunit ribosomal RNA", at positions 28 to 351 of the family's 1533-position model. Lineage: Bacteria; Bacillati; Bacillota. The record is from RNAcentral.
GACGAACGCUGGCGGCGUGCCUAACACAUGCAAGUCGAGCGGAGGGAUCCGAAGAGCAAUCCAAGGAUGCCUGAGCGGCGGACGGGUGAGUAACACGUGAGCAACCUGCCUAUCACAGGGGGAUAACGCAGCGAAAGCUGCACUAAUACCGCAUGAGACCACAGUACUGAUGGUACAGGGGUCAAAGGAGCGAUCCGGUGAGAGAUGGGCUCGCGUCCGAUUAGGUAGUUGGUGAGGUAACGGCCCACCAAGCCAAUGAUCGGUAGCCGGCCUGAGAGGGUGAACGGCCACAUUGGAACUGAGAGACGGUCCAAACUCCUACGGGAGGCUG